RNAcentral lists this non-coding RNA (99 nucleotides) under human gut metagenome. RNAcentral's name for it is "Moco (molybdenum cofactor) riboswitch". It matches the Rfam family "Molybdenum/Tungsten riboswitch aptamer (Moco RNA motif)", at positions 13 to 119 of the family's 135-position model. The record is from RNAcentral.
AUCUACACUGAGUCUGUAUGUUUAAGGUGAAAGCUAUGACAGCAGACCAAUGGGUAUCGCUGGAAACGGCGGUGCCUCCCGUGUUUGGAAAGGUGCAGG